Molecule: non-coding RNA, 30 nt
Filed under: Rattus norvegicus (Norway rat)
Lineage: Eukaryota; Metazoa; Chordata; Mammalia; Rodentia; Muridae
Source: RNAcentral
UGAGAGUCGAGGCCUGAAGAUGGUAUUGGA